GACGAACGCUGGCGGCGUGCUUAACACAUGCAAGUCGAGCGGUAAGGCCCUUUCGGGGGUACGACGAGCGGCGAACGGGUGAGUAACACGUGGGUGACCUGCCCUCAGCUCUGGGAUAAGCCUGGGAAACUGGGUCUAAUACUGGAUAUGACUCCACGGUGCAUGUCGUGGGGUGGAAAGCCUUGUGCGGCUGAGGAUGGGCCCGCGGCCUAUCAGCUUGCUGGUGGGGG
RNAcentral lists this ribosomal RNA (230 nucleotides) under uncultured bacterium. RNAcentral describes it as "partial 16S ribosomal RNA". It matches the Rfam family "Bacterial small subunit ribosomal RNA", at positions 28 to 258 of the family's 1533-position model. The record is from RNAcentral.